This 236-nucleotide ribosomal RNA is filed under the name uncultured Candidatus Saccharibacteria bacterium. Its description in RNAcentral is "partial 16S ribosomal RNA". It matches the Rfam family "Bacterial small subunit ribosomal RNA", at positions 584 to 818 of the family's 1533-position model. Lineage: Bacteria; Candidatus Saccharimonadota. The record is from RNAcentral.
AAAGCGAAUAGUGAAACCUGGUGGCUCAACCAUACAGACUAUUAUUCGAACUCAUUAACUCGAGAGUAGCAGAGGUAACUGGAAUUUCUUGUGUAGGAGUGAAAUCCGUAGAUAUAAGAAGGAACACCAAUGGCGUAGGCAGGUUACUGGGCUAUUUCUGACACUGAGGCACGAAAGCGUGGGGAGCGAACCGGAUUAGAUACCCGGGUAGUCCACGCCGUAAACGAUGGAUACUA